Molecule: ribosomal RNA, 290 nt
Filed under: uncultured bacterium
Lineage: Bacteria
Description: partial 16S ribosomal RNA
Rfam family: Archaeal small subunit ribosomal RNA
Source: RNAcentral
GUGCAGCAGCCGCGGUAAUACCGGCCGCUCAAGUGAUGUCCCAUAUUAUUGGGCCUAAAGCGUCCGUAGCUGGCCGCCCAAGUCUCCCGGGAAAUCCACCCGCCCAACGGGUGGGCGUCCGGUAGAAACUGGCCGGCUUGGAACCGGAAGGCUCAGAGAGUACGUCCGGGGUAGGAGUGAAAUCCUGUAAUCCUGGACGGACCGCCGGUGGCGAAAGCGCCUCGGGAAGACGGACCCGACAGUGAGGGACGAAAGCUGGGAUCUCGAACCGGAUUAGAUACCCGGGUAUC